GCAUUGCACUCCAGCCUGGGCAACAGGAGCAAAACUCCGUCUCAAAAAAAAAAAAAAAAGAAAAAGAAAAAUGUUAUCUUUGCUUUUUCUAUCUGCCUGUUGUUAAAAUCUAACACCUUAGUCUGGGUCAUAGGCAUUUAUUGAGCAUCCAUGUUUCAGGCUCAUUACUUGUAUUAACUAAUGUGAUCUUUUCAACAAUCCUAGGAGGCAGGGGCAGUAUUAUCAUCUCCAUUUUACGAGGAGGAAAAGCAAGCAAUGUACCCAAGUUCCCACAGCUAAAAAGAAUUCUGUCUGUCCUCAGAGCUGUGCCCUGAAACCCUCUGCCCUGCUGAAGAAUGGAGAGGACUCCCCCACCAGCACCUCCACCUAGGACACAUGGGAACUGUGGGACUUGGAGCAAAGUUUUCAAGUCUCUGUGCCUUAGUUUCCUCACCUGUGCUGUUCUAGGCGCUGAGGAUGCAGCCGUGCACAAGACGGAUGAAAUCCCUGCCCUCAGGGGGCCGACAUUUGCGGAGUAAAUAAAGGAAAGGCCAACAUGAACAGCUGAUUUGGAUACCAUCAAGACACCUGAAAUUUUAGCAUGAGCCAGAUGCCAAGGAAGAGACUCCGGGAGGAUCCUGAGGACCCCCCGGUUGCAGCCAUGUCGAGGCUGAUGCUGAGGAGGACCCCAACUGUCACGAGAAACACCCGUCGAACACAGCCACCCAGCUGGAGACAGAUCAAGAAGCUGUCACAGAUGAUGGAAGAAAACCUGAGGAAAGCGGGACAACCACUCAGAAUGAGUAAUGGUAGCUAUGAUAGUGGUAAUCACCAUUGCCGUGAGUAUUCCUUAAAGAAGGGCUGACACAGAGAACAAUUAUACUUAUUAGGCAUAUUCAUCAAUCUUGGCUGGCAAUAAUGCCUGGAUGUAAUCACUCU
This 918-nucleotide long non-coding RNA is filed under the name Homo sapiens (human). Its description in RNAcentral is "HSALNT0398181". The record is from RNAcentral. Lineage: Eukaryota; Metazoa; Chordata; Mammalia; Primates; Hominidae.